RNAcentral lists this transfer RNA (90 nucleotides) under bacterium. RNAcentral's name for it is "tRNA-Ser". It matches the Rfam family "tRNA". From Rfam's summary of the family: Transfer RNA (tRNA) molecules are approximately 80 nucleotides in length. The record is from RNAcentral.
GGAGAGGUGGCUGAGAGGCUGAAGGCAACGGAUUGCUAAUCCGUCGUAGGGGCUCAACCCCUACCGAGGGUUCGAAUCCCUCCCUCUCCG